AUACGGAGGGCGCAAGCGUUACUCGGAAUCACUGGGCGUAAAGCGCGCGCAGGCGGUCUUUUAAGUUGGAUGUGAAAGCCUACGGCUCAACCGUAGAACUGCAUCCAAAACUAUUAGACUCGAGUGUGGGAGAGGAAGAUGGAAUUAGUUGUGUAGGGGUAAAAUCCGUAGAGAUAACUAGGAAUACCAAAAGCGAAGGCAAUCUUCUGGAACACUACUGACGCUGAGGCGCGAAAGCGUGGGGAGCAAACAGGAUUAGAAACCCUAGUAGUCC
This 274-nucleotide ribosomal RNA is filed under the name uncultured bacterium. Its description in RNAcentral is "partial 16S ribosomal RNA". It matches the Rfam family "Bacterial small subunit ribosomal RNA", at positions 523 to 796 of the family's 1533-position model. The record is from RNAcentral.